UUGAGAAAUCGGGAAAAGGGGAAAUCGAGAAAUAGAGAAAUCGAGAAAUCGAGAAAGCAAAAACGCGAAAACGUGAAAUGAAUUUCUCGAUUUCGCUUUUUUGCUUUCUCGAUUUCCCAACUUCCCGAUUUCCCUAAUUCUCGAUUGCUCGAUUUCCCGAUUUCCCGAU
Molecule: small RNA, 169 nt
Filed under: Mytilus galloprovincialis (Mediterranean mussel)
Lineage: Eukaryota; Metazoa; Mollusca; Bivalvia; Mytilida; Mytilidae
Source: RNAcentral